ACGGGAGGCAGCAGUAGGGAAUAUUGCACAAUGGGGGGAACCCUGAUGCAGCAACGCCACGUGUGGGAAGAAGCAUUUCGGUGUGUAAACCACUGUCGUGAGGGAAUAAUGCUUGAUUUCGGUCAAGUUGAAUGUACCUCGAAAGGAAGCACCAGCAAACUUCGUGCCAGCAGCCGCGGUAAUACGAGGGGUGCGAGCGUUGUUCGGAAUCACUGGGCGUAAAGGGAGCGUAGGCGGAGACGCAAGCAGUCUGUACAAUGCCGGGGCCCAACCCCGGACCUGCAGACUGGACUGUGUCUCUUGGAUAGUUCAGGGGCAGGCGGAAUUCCUGGUGUAGCGGUGGAAUGCGUAGAGAUCAGGAAGAACACCGAUGGCGAAGGCAGUCUACUGGGGACUCAUCGACGCUGAGGCUCGAAAGUGCGGGUAGCAAACAGGAUUAGAUACCCUGGUA
Molecule: ribosomal RNA, 451 nt
Filed under: uncultured Fibrobacter sp.
Lineage: Bacteria; Pseudomonadati; Fibrobacterota; Fibrobacteria; Fibrobacterales; Fibrobacteraceae
Description: partial 16S ribosomal RNA
Rfam family: Bacterial small subunit ribosomal RNA
Source: RNAcentral